RNAcentral lists this long non-coding RNA (5831 nucleotides) under Sus scrofa (pig). RNAcentral describes it as "lncRNA (ENSSSCG00000058613.1)". Lineage: Eukaryota; Metazoa; Chordata; Mammalia; Artiodactyla; Suidae. The record is from RNAcentral.
UUUUUUUAUGAGUUAAUAAUUAAAUGGUAUCCUUAGAACAUAGUGUCAUAUCCCUACCAAGAGUAGUUAUAAAAUAAAGGCACAUACAUGCUUAAGUUCCUGAUGAAAAUAUAUGUAUCAGUCAUUACUUUCACCACUAGUACUAGAGUUUCUAGGAAAUUCAGAUGACUAUCAUAAGUGAAUGAUUUUAUUACAAUCUAUUACAAGAUGUGUACAUCUUUCUAGACUAUUUAAAAAUUUGAUCAUUUAGAAUUUUUUUUAAAUAAACCAGAAAGCAAAUUUGGGCUAUAAAACCAAACAUAUUCCAAAAUAUUCAGUUGUUAAAUCAAUAGCUAUUGUGUACCUACUGUGGUUGAGCUCUGUUUUGUAUGUUAAGGACCCAAAAGACACAAUCUCCACCCUGAGCUACUGCGAGACAGAUUGAGACAAUUAUAAAGUAAAGCAACACAAGGAAGUUGAAAAAAGGAGCCCAGAAGACAUAGUGAGGGGGUGGGUAGAGGAAAGGGGGGAGAAUGGAGGCAAGUGCAUAAAAGGGGAAGUGUUUACUAGUAAGCUUAGGGCAGGAAGGACUGAGAAGUGUCCUUUGGGUUGGGUAACACGGAGGCCUUACUGAGGAUUCUGCACAGGGUGAGCCCUGAAGCCCAGUUCUACGCUCCCUGAGCCAAGCAGGGAAUGUGAACGGAAUGAGGGCUUUACAAGAGCAGUGAGUCUCUGGGUAUCUUUUGGAUACUAAUGAAGUGUUAUUUCUCACACUUCAAGUAUCUGAAAGAGCAUUCUGAAUCUACGUCUUGCCUCUUAUUAUCUCUUCAUCAGUGUUAGCUUUUCCCCCAAAUUAGCAUUUCUUUCCAUGGACAAACAAGAGUCCUGCUCAAAAAAACAUAAGUUGCUACCAAUAGUUGGAAAUUUUGUUUUAUCACACACCAGGCAAUAAAAAUGUUUAUACAAUCUUGGUUGUUAUUGGCAGCCAAAACAUGGGAACUGUAGGAAAGACUUCUCAACAAGAACUUGGGAGGGAAAAAAAUGAAGCAUAAAACCAGCAAAAGUAGAUGAGACCAAAAAUAAUAUAUUAAUAUCACUUCAAAGAGAUACAGCUGUACCUAGGCUGGCAACACUAUAUUUAACUAGUGAAAUAUAUUAACAUAUCUAAACACCAAAUAUAUUUACCUGAAGGGAAUUGGUUGGACAAUCAUGAAACACAGAUGAUCAAAACCGGCAAACUUGGGUAAUGCCCUCCCAAGAGAGGUUCUUAUUAAGAUAAGUUUUAGGAGAGAAGUAGAACAAAAACGUAUUGCACUGUUGGAGAGUGUGUCUUGAUCAUUGGAUUUGGGACCCUCUGAUAAAUCUACCCUCUAAUGAAUGAAUGAAUUUAACAACUGUUUAUUGAACAUCUGUUAUGUGCCAGGCACUGGGGAUAUGAAAGUAAAUGUUGAGUUUACCAUCUAGAGAUGUUAUAGUGCUGAGUGAUAAGUACUGUGAUGAGAUGUGUAUAGGUUAGUGUAAGACUAGAUUAAAAAGGGAACAUUUUGGAAUAUGAAAAUAAAAUCAGAGAAGGCUUUCUUCUCAUCUGGAAAGCACAGGCCUGGAGGUGACAGAGAGCAAAACAAACAUUCCAGAAAUUCACCAGAGUCAGUAUGAAUAGAACCAGGAGGGCAAAAGAGAGUUGAUGCAGGUUGGAUUCCUCUGGAAGCAAAUAUCAGUGUGGAGGUUUAUUAGAGAGUACUCUUUAUUAGGGAGUGUGCAGGGAGGGAACAAAAUAAUAUCGAGCAGAGAGAGAGGUUGGGCUGCGACACAAGUGUCAGCAGAGAGCUCAGUCAAAAACACGAGGCAUCUGAAACCGAGAUGGCCCUCAGAGUGGUUCUGAGUUGAGAUAAUGGGACCAGGUCUUCUAUGUGGGCCAGUGAUUGGAUGGAAGUAAUUCUGGGAAUGGGGAGUGGCAUGACCUUGCAGGAGAGAAUUCCCUCUAGCUAAGGCAAUUAUGAAAAGGGCUCUCUGCCAACAGUAGUCCCAGGAGCUCGCAGAUCUGGUAGCUGAAAUACAGCAUACCGCAAGACAAGUGGAAGAAAAAGCAGGGAAGGUCAGAAAAGAUCACGUCGUGAAGGUCAUUGAAAGUCCUGUUAAGAGACUUUGGCCUCUACCUGGGGAAAACAGGGUGGCCACUCCAAAGUUUUACUUAAGAUGGUGACAUUCAAAGAUUUGUGCUUGCAAGUGAUUGUCUCGGCAAGGGUAUUCUUUUAGGGUGGGGAAAGGGACCUAAAAGAAAAAAAUUGGAGGAAAAGAAGAUUGUGUUUGGAGGCUCUUGAAGGAAUCCAGGAGAGAGAUAAUUGUGGCCUGAAUGAGGCCAUGAAGUAAGAAUGAAAAACAGCAAUGAAUUUAAAAGAAAUUUCAGUCACAGGAUGGGCUGAACUUGGUUUUUUGUUUUUUGUUUUUUUUCUUUUUUUGGCCACACCUGUGCAGCAUAUGGAAGUCCUAGACUAGGGGUGGAAUCGGAGCUGCAGCUUCAGGCCAUAGCCACAGCCACGGCAACACCAGAUCGAAGCUGCACUUGCAACCUACCCUGCAGUGUGCAGCAAUGCCAGAUCCUUAACCCACUGAGCAAGGCCCCCGAAUCCUCAAGGACAGUAUGUUGGAUUCUUAACCUACUAAGCCACAACAGGAACUCCUUGGUUAUUGAUUUUAAUGCAAAGGUGCAAAGGAGGAAAUAUGAAACUUACCAAUUAAGGGAUAGCAGUGCCAUUUACCAAGGCAGAAGCACCAGAAAUGCAGUAAUGCCCAGUGGGGUGGAAAAAGGAGACAGAGAACAAGUUUGGGUUUAUAAACAUGGAUUACCUGUCUGUGGUACAGACAAGCGGUAAGUCAGAAAGUGAAGAGGAAAUAUGUGCCUCCACAUUUGUAGUGUUGCCUCCAAAUUCAAUAUAGAAAAUAAUCCAGAAGGAAAAAGGAAAUCUGGAAAAAAGCUGUAGAACUAAAGAACACAUUCAUUCUACAAAAAAAGGUGGACUUCAAAAAAGGUGAUAAAGAAAGAAUAGUCCAGGUAGGAGAAAAAUCCAUGGAGAACGAUGAGUGAGAGACCAAGGAGACAAUGAGCUCAGGGGGCAGGAUACCAUCAUGGCUCAGAAUUUUCAGCAGAAAAACCAGGGGUUACCCUGCCCAGUGCUGUACCUGGUCAGCAGUGUGAGCCAAAGCCAGACCACGGGGGACAGAACCCAUGAGUUGUCAAAGAAAGCAUGUAUCCUGGAGGUGGGGUUGGGUGGCUUCAAGAGCAGGGCAUUUUUAAAAUCUGACUAGUAUCCAUGAGGAUGCAGGUUCGAUCCCUGGAUUCGUUCAGGGGGUUAAGGAGCCAGCGUUGCUGUGAGCUGUGGUGUGGGUCGCAGACACAGCCUGGAUGUGGCAUUGCUUUGGCUGUGGUGUAGGCCAGAGGCUACAGCUCCAUUUCAAUCCCUAGCCUGGGAACCUCCAUGUGCCACAGGUGUGGCCCUAAAAAGACAAAAAUAAAAAUUAUAAAAGAGAGUAGGGCAAUUAAAAAAACUUAUUUCAUCAAAAGUGUACUUGAUACACAGUGUUGUGUUUCCGGUGUACAGCAAAGUGAUUCAGUUAUAUGUAUACACAUUCUUUUUCGUAUUCUUUUCCAGUAUGGUUUAUUACAGGACAUUGAAUAUAGUUCAAGGGUGAGGCAUUGUGCAUUGUCUUAUGACACAGAAAUUUAGAAGAAAAGGCCAAGAGGAGACAGUCUAUCGAAUGAACUCCAAGCGGAGGCCCUGCAGGCAUGGGACAGGGGAAUAUAAAGAACAGGAUUGGAAUUUAUCUCCGGAAGAUUUGGGAGUAAACUAAAGAAAGGAGGAAGAGUCAUCUGUGGAAGCAGGUGAGUUUGUAGGUAGCAUCACAGGAAAUAAGCAGAGUUCCCACUGUAAUGGCUGGAGGUGUGUGAGGUCCUCCAUGAAAGUGAAGGAUAGGGACGUGUUGGAGUUGGCCAUUAGAAGAAAGUUUUGAAUUUGUGUUGGAUGGGAGCAUACCUUAACUAGGUAGCUGGUUGCUUCUAAACAUUUAAAUCAUCUAGUUACUUUUCUGAUGUCGUGCACAGCAAAAUAACUAGUGUUUGUAAGUUGACUUUCUCAAAUUUUUUUAGUUAUUGCUACAGUGGUUGUUAGUUACAGGGAAGAAACGUACAAUGCAGGAUGAUAUGUAUAUUCUGGUCCUCAGGGAAACUGUAUUUCUCAUUGUAAAUCAGUACAUUAACGUAUUUGCUUGCUAGUACUUGGAAUGUUAAGUUUGGUUUAUGUGAAUGCCCUUGAACAAGUUCAAUGUGAAUGUGUUGACUUUAUAGGGCAGGGAUUUGGGCCAUCAAGUCUGGGGCACAGGAAACCAUGCCAGGUUGGCCAUGCACUCUGGGAGAAAGCCUCUUGGAGGAGAGCCAGCCAGACCGUUCCUGUUUUCCUCUGUCUUGAAUUUCAUACAGUCUUUCAAACUUUGCAAUAUCAAUUAUGAGACUUACCUCAAACCACAGCCAAACCAGGAAAAAAUAGAGCUGGAAGUAUCACAGCGAGAGAGAAAAAUCAGUUUAAGUCAAUUCUAAAAGAAAAGGAUCAGAAAGGGAAAUUUUUGAUAGAAAAUAGAACAAAACUUCUGAAGUAUUGACAGUCAAGGUGACCAUUUUCUUCUCUAAAGUCACAUCAUUUCUUCAUUUGCUCAUUCAAUCUCUAUUUAUUAAUUACCCACUACCUAUUGGGAUGAUGAGAUUAGCUCCCUUCCCUCCAAUAUCUACUGCCAAAUACUGCCAAGAUGAAAUUUGCAGAGGGAAUAAUAGCACAGAACAAAACAGAAAGGAUACUUAGCUAGUCAGUCUCUUGCUGACAAAUUUCUUCUGUGAUUCAAUCCAAUUGCUGAACAAUUCAAAGAGAUUAACCAAAAUAAUGUACUAUAUUUACCGCAAAAUAAUAUAUUAAGGUAUUAAAAAAAUCUUUUAAAAUGAAAAUAGUAUUGCUCAAAAAGAAAGUCAGAUUAGACAUCAAGGAAUUAUCAUCUUUAUUUUUCUGAUUUGAAGAAUAUACAGAGGAGAAUGAUAGAGGACAUUUCUAUACAACAAGUUAGUACAAAUGUUGCAACUGAAAGCUAAGUCUCCAUGAUAAAAAAUAUUAAUAAGUUAAUAUAAAUAUCCAGAAUAGGGUUUUAUCAUCAAAAUGUAUUAUAUCCUUAGGAAUAUUGUAGAAAGCUCUUUAAACUUGAGGCUAAAAAAAAAGAAUAAUAAAAAAGUAAAUCACAGGGGAGCCAUACAACACAGAAAUACAGAUUUCACCAUAUUCUGCAAUAGAUGCUUGGCAAGAAUAAGAGAAAUAGAGAAGAAGAAAGUGGUAACAGAAGUUCUGCUGGUAGGGUUUUUUUAUUGUUACAUACACAUGCAUAUAUUCUGUAUAUAAAUGAUCCCAAAGAGAGUAACAAUUAUUUUUAAAGCUAGGAUCUUAAUCUCUUGCUACAGCAGAGAGAAGAAAGAGAAAGAGAGCAUGGCUUGCAGAUAUAGAACUAGCCAUGAGAGCAUGACUAUUCUCCUCAGGUUGGGGAUAGUUCUUCCUACCUCUGCCUCAAGGACUUUACGAAAACAUCCUGGGCAUAGUUUAAAGCCAUUUUACUCAGCAUUGAGGAAUGCUUAUGUCGGGCAGGAAGUUUCUUGCCACAGAUGGCUACAUAGGAAAUAAAAGGGGGAAUCGGCCAUUAGAAAUAAAGGGGCACAGGGACUUCCCUGAUGGUGCGGUGGGUUAAGGAUCCGACAUUGUCACUGCUGCAGCUUGGGUCACUGCUGUGGUGCAGGUUCUAUCCCUGGCCUGGAAAUUUCUGCAUGC